Rhagoletis pomonella (apple maggot) is the source of this 212-nucleotide long non-coding RNA. RefSeq lists it as uncharacterized. Lineage: Eukaryota; Metazoa; Arthropoda; Insecta; Diptera; Tephritidae. The transcript has 3 exons. The record is from RefSeq and is a predicted model, not a curated record.
UUCAGAGAAUUAAACAAGCAAAUAAAAAUUUUACGAUCUCAUGUUUCCUUCAAAGCGCAGUUAACUCAAACGAAUUUUGUUCAAAAUUAAAUUUUGAUGCAUAAACGCUCUUAGACUGUCUUUGCACCUAAUGGCGUUUUCUUUUCUACCGAAAUAUGCUGCCUUCUCAGUGCCCUCUACGCACAAAUACUAAUGAGAGGGCAUUGAAAAGG